GGUUCAGGACGAACGCUGGCGGCGUGCCUAAUACAUGCAAGUCGAACGGUCUUUCUAUGGAAGCUUGCUUCCACUGAAAAGAUAGUGGCGAACGGGUGAGUAACACGUGGGUAACCUGCCCAUAAGAGGGGGGAUAACAUCCGGAAACGGGUGCUAAUACCGCAUAGUUUUCUUGAUCGCAUGAUCGGGAAAGGAAAGACGGCCUUUGUGCUGUCGCUUAUGGAUGGACCCGCGGCGUAUUAGUUAGUUGGUGAGGUAACGGCUCACCAAGACGAUGAUACGUAGCCGACCUGAGAGGGUGAUCGGCCACAUUGGGACUGAGACACGGCCCAAACUCCUACGGGAGGCAGCAGUAGGGAAUCUUCCGCAAUGGACGAAAGUCUGACGGAGCAACGCCGCGUGAGUGAAAGAAGGUUUUCGGAUCGUAAAACUCUGUUGUCAGAGAAGAACAAGUUGGAGAGUAACUGCUCCAGCCUUGACGGUAUCUGACCAGAAAGCCACGGCUAACUACGUGCCAGCCGCCGC
This 525-nucleotide ribosomal RNA is filed under the name uncultured bacterium. RNAcentral describes it as "bacterial SSU rRNA". It matches the Rfam family "Bacterial small subunit ribosomal RNA", at positions 21 to 518 of the family's 1533-position model. The record is from RNAcentral.